GUAUCUCGGACGACCCACUCCUCCUCCCAAGGGGCGUCCGAUUGGAAUGACGGCACUCCUCCUCCCAGCCGUCAUUCGGUUCUUUUCAGAAAGCCUGCCGCACCUCCUCCCGCGGCGGGCUUUUUGA
RNAcentral lists this small RNA (127 nucleotides) under Gillisella taibaishanensis. RNAcentral's name for it is "Rhizobium taibaishanense ar14". It matches the Rfam family "Alphaproteobacterial ar14". From Rfam's summary of the family: Smr14C2 was renamed NfeR1 (Nodule Formation Efficiency RNA) highly expressed in salt stress and during the symbiotic interaction on legume roots. Lineage: Bacteria; Pseudomonadati; Pseudomonadota; Alphaproteobacteria; Hyphomicrobiales; Rhizobiaceae. The record is from RNAcentral.